GGCUCCAUAGUGUAGUGGUUAGCACGUCUGCUUUACACGCAGAAGGUCCUGGUUUGCGCACCAGGUGGAGCCA
RNAcentral lists this transfer RNA (73 nucleotides) under Pteropus alecto (black flying fox). It matches the Rfam family "tRNA". From Rfam's summary of the family: Transfer RNA (tRNA) molecules are approximately 80 nucleotides in length. Their secondary structure includes four short double-helical elements and three loops (D, anti-codon, and T loops). Further hydrogen bonds mediate the characteristic L-shaped molecular structure. tRNAs have two regions of fundamental functional importance: the anti-codon, which is responsible for specific mRNA codon recognition, and the 3' end, to which the tRNAs corresponding amino acid is attached (by aminoacyl-tRNA synthetases). tRNAs cope with the degeneracy of the genetic code in two manners: having more than one tRNA (with a specific anti-codon) for a particular amino acid; and 'wobble' base-pairing, i.e. permitting non-standard base-pairing at the 3rd anti-codon position. The record is from Rfam by way of RNAcentral. Lineage: Eukaryota; Metazoa; Chordata; Mammalia; Chiroptera; Pteropodidae.